GACUCUCGGCAACGGAUAUCUCGGCUCUCGCAUCGAUGAAGAACAUAGCGAAAUGCGAUACUUGGUGUGAAUUGCAGAAUCCCGUGAACCAUCGAGUCUUUGAACGCAAGUUGCGCCCGAGGCCUCUUGGUCGAGGGCACGUCUGCCUGGGUGUCA
RNAcentral lists this ribosomal RNA (156 nucleotides) under Populus trichocarpa (black cottonwood). RNAcentral describes it as "5.8S ribosomal RNA". It matches the Rfam family "5.8S ribosomal RNA". Rfam says of the family: 5.8S ribosomal RNA (5.8S rRNA) is a component of the large subunit of the eukaryotic ribosome. The record is from Rfam by way of RNAcentral. Lineage: Eukaryota; Viridiplantae; Streptophyta; Magnoliopsida; Malpighiales; Salicaceae.